This is a small nuclear RNA of Vombatus ursinus (common wombat), 103 nucleotides long. The record is from Ensembl. Lineage: Eukaryota; Metazoa; Chordata; Mammalia; Diprotodontia; Vombatidae.
GUGCUUCAGCAGCACAUAUACUAAAAUUGGAACAGUACAGAGAAAAUUAGCAUGGCCCCUGCACAAGCAUGACAUGCAAAUUCAUGAGGUGUUCCAUAUUUUA